AACGAACGCUGGCGGCAUGCCUAACACAUGCAAGUCGAACGAUACCUUCGGUUCUAGUUUCGCGCGUGUGCGUGACUGGUGGGCAGCUGCGCAUCGGGUCAGUAUACCUCCCCGAUCUGCGUGCUAACCCCGGAAAAUUUCGUCGAACACAAGAUAUAUCGCGUUUGUAUCGGCCGGCGUUGGGUAAGCUAGUUGUUACGGUGAGAGCCUACCACGGCGACGAUCCAUAGCUUGUCUGAGAGGAUGAUCAGCCACACCGGGACGGAGACACGGCCUAGACGCCUACGGGAGGAAGCAGUGGGGAAUAUUGGACAGUCGGCGAGAGCCUGAUGCAGCAAUGCCGGGUGAGAGAUGAAGGCGUUAGGGUUGUAAAGCUCGUUUACUCGGGAUGGUGUUGACAGUACCGGGAUAAUAAGCUCCGGCUAACUCCGUG
Molecule: ribosomal RNA, 433 nt
Filed under: uncultured bacterium
Lineage: Bacteria
Description: partial 16S ribosomal RNA
Rfam family: Bacterial small subunit ribosomal RNA
Source: RNAcentral